GAUGAACGCUGGCGGCGUGCCUAACACAUGCAAGUCGAGCGAUUCUCUUAGGAGAAGAGCGGCGGACGGGUGAGUAACGCGUGGGUAACCUGCCCUGUACACACGGAUAACAUACCGAAAGGUAUGCUAAUACGGGAUAAUAUGCUUUUAUCGCAUGGUAGAAGUAUCAAAGCUCCGGCGGUACAGGAUGGACCCGCGUCUGAUUAGCUAGUUGGUAAGGUAACGGCUUACCAAGGCGACGAUCAGUAGCCGACCUGAGAGGGUGAUCGGCCACAUUGGAACUGAGACACGGUCCAAACUCCUACGGGAGGCAGCAGUGGGGAAUAUUGCACAAUGGGCGAAAGCCUGAUGCAGCAACGCCGCGUGAGCGAUGAAGGCCUUCGGGUCGUAAAGUUCUGUCCUCAAGGAAGAUAAUGACGGUACUUGAGGAGGAAGCCCCGGCUAACUACGUGCCAGCCGCCGCCGUAA
Molecule: ribosomal RNA, 468 nt
Filed under: uncultured bacterium
Lineage: Bacteria
Description: partial 16S ribosomal RNA
Rfam family: Bacterial small subunit ribosomal RNA
Source: RNAcentral